UUUUCAGCAGGCUGUCUAGAAAACCAAAGAAUUUUUUUUCCUGGGGUAUCUAAUAGUCUCCCAUUGGAAAAGUAAAAUUGCAUAUCUUUUUCUACAGCUUGAUACUGCUUUUAAUACUCACCACAGUCGUUUCUGUUUGUGCGGUUUGAGAUGAGAUGGAAGGGUCCCUCUGGUCUCUCUUCCUCGACGAGCCUUCCAGUUAUGCCGUCCAGCCCUCUUUGCUUUCUCUAUUUGGACUUUUUAACGUUCUUAACUGGUUAUGUGUUUGCAGUAUAAACUCUGUUUAGAAAUAACUUUGUGUGUGUGUUAAGUAACCGCUCGGGGAGGCGGGAGGGAGGCAAACAACCCCGAUCUUCCCCUGCCGGCGCGGCUCUUAGGAGCAGAGGAAUUGCUCUGCGAACGCGGUUCCUUCCCCAGUGCAAGCUGCCCUCCCCAAACCCUUUACAGCCCUUCCAGGCUGCAGGACCCGGAGCAGGGAGCGUGUUUAUCGGGUUACCUCGAAGCAACGUGUGAACAGGGUCUACGCGGGUCUGCGCCUCUCGGCCAGCGUGCGUGCCGCUGGUAUCGAGCCAGAAACUGCUGCUUCAGCUGCUAAUCGUGGGACAGAGCGACUUCAGGGAGCGAAAUUCCGUGCCUUGGCUGCCGCCGCCGCUCUCGGUGGGAAAAGCCGCGUUCGCCGGGGUUGCCUCGAACCUCACGAUUCGACCCGAGUUGCUAGAUUUUGGCACGCCGGAGCCCUGCUCAAAGAGGUUUCUUGCGCCCCGCCAUCACCCACGUCUCCGCCAAGGAGGAGCGACUCGGCCGUCCCUGCUCAGAGGAGCCGCUGACGCGCGCGAGGCCCAGAAGAAGUCGCAGGCUGUCUCGGGAGCCGGCUAAUUCCGCGAUUCGGGAGCCCGCGAGAGGCAGGAUACAGGAAUUCACCCCGCGCUGCCCUGACGCGGUGAGGAGACCGGAGCGAGGUGAACGGAGCAGCGGGGUUCAGCCGGGCUCCGAAGCGAAGCCUCCGGGGUCGCAACAGCCGAAUAACGCGUCUUUUGUUCCGAUCGCAUAAACCAGCUUCUGUGCUCUUAAAAGACGCCGGGAAGCAGGAACUCUCCCAGAACGCUCUCCUAAUGUUGUCUACAGCAAAGAGGAUUAAUGCCACCGAAGGAAAAAAAUGUGCUUAUUAUUUUCAACUGUAAGGGAUAUAAAAGCUCUCUCCUUCGGCAGCGAGGUUAUGAUAUAUCCGGCAGUGCUUAAAACGGGUAGAAGCCGAUGGUUUGGGAUGUAUUUCGAAACCUCGUUAAAAUGUAACAGAUCAGGUAAACGUAAUGUGAAAUUAGAACAAUCUUUGUAGAAUCCAGAGUGUAUCCGUAAUGAAAAUAAUGCCUCGCAGCGAUGUUUAAUAAAAGCUGC
RNAcentral lists this long non-coding RNA (1395 nucleotides) under Apteryx owenii (little spotted kiwi). RNAcentral's name for it is "lncRNA (ENSAOWG00000011862.1)". Lineage: Eukaryota; Metazoa; Chordata; Aves; Apterygiformes; Apterygidae. The record is from RNAcentral.